This is a long non-coding RNA of Octopus sinensis (East Asian common octopus), 445 nucleotides long. RefSeq lists it as uncharacterized. The transcript has 4 exons. Lineage: Eukaryota; Metazoa; Mollusca; Cephalopoda; Octopoda; Octopodidae. The record is from RefSeq and is a predicted model, not a curated record.
UAUAAAAUGUUUUUUUUUCUUUUCUUAUUCAGUAAUUUCAAAUGAACCAUUUUGGAACAUGACAAAGCAGAGUUCACAGCCCUUCUGGUUGGGUCCACCAUCAGUAAACCAGUCCACACCAAUAAUGUGGCAAUAGCAGAUAUUAGGGUCUAUGACUCCACACUCUAUUAUUCUAUUCGACACACAAGACUAAAACAGCUGGAGAAGUUGCUAUUCGUUCUGGAUCAAGGAAAUAUUAUACAUCAAAUACAUAUUACAGCACCAUUACAAUCUAAGGUGUGUUGGGGCAAAUGUACCUCUUUACCACAGGUAUGCGGUGUGUGGAGGAAAGUACCUGUCCUGUAUCAGCAGUACCUGUGGGACAAACGUGUGUCGAUCGUCUUGACGACAGCGCCUCAUCCAGACGGCGAAGUCAAAGGCCGAGUUAUAACAACCAAUGAUAAAC